RNAcentral lists this ribosomal RNA (254 nucleotides) under uncultured prokaryote. RNAcentral describes it as "partial 16S ribosomal RNA". It matches the Rfam family "Bacterial small subunit ribosomal RNA", at positions 525 to 777 of the family's 1533-position model. The record is from RNAcentral.
ACGGAGGGUGCGAGCGUUGUCCGGAAUCAUUGGGCGUAAAGGGCGCGUAGGCGGCCACUUCAAGCGUGCGGUGAAAGUCGGGGGCUCAACCCCUGAUCGGCCGUGCGAACUGGGGGGCUGGAGCACUGUAGAGGCAGGCGGAAUUCCAGGUGUAGCGGUGAAAUGCGUAGAUAUCUGGAGGAACACCGGUGGCGAAGGCGGCAUCCUGGACCGGCAUUGACGCUGAGGCGCGAAAGCCAGGGGAGCAAACGGGA